Molecule: ribosomal RNA, 252 nt
Filed under: uncultured Bacteroidales bacterium
Lineage: Bacteria; Pseudomonadati; Bacteroidota; Bacteroidia; Bacteroidales
Description: partial 16S ribosomal RNA
Rfam family: Bacterial small subunit ribosomal RNA
Source: RNAcentral
UACGGAGGAUGCGAGCGUUAUCCGGAUUUAUUGGGUUUAAAGGGUGCGCAGGCGGCGUGUCAAGUCAGCGGUAAAAUGUCGGGGCUCAACCCCGGCCGGCCGUUGAAACUGAUGAUCUUGAGUGGGCGAGAAGUAUGCGGAAUGCGUGGUGUAGCGGUGAAAUGCAUAGAUAUCACGCAGAACUCCGAUUGCGAAGGCAGCAUACCGGCGCCCGACUGACGCUGAAGCACGAAAGCGUGGGUAUCGAACAGG